This 484-nucleotide ribosomal RNA is filed under the name uncultured bacterium. RNAcentral's name for it is "bacterial SSU rRNA". It matches the Rfam family "Bacterial small subunit ribosomal RNA", at positions 29 to 494 of the family's 1533-position model. The record is from RNAcentral.
AACGAACGCUGGCGGCGUGCCUAACACAUGCAAGUCGAGGGAGAAAGCCGCAAGGUGAGUAAACCGGCGAACGGGUGCGUAACACGUGGAUAAUCUGCCUGAGUGACCGGGACAACUGGCCGAAAGGCUUGCUAAUAUCGGAUAAGCCCACGGAGUCGAAGGACUCUGAGGGAAAAGGUGGCCUCUGUAUACAAGCUAUCGCACACAGAUGAGUCCGCGGCCCAUCAGCUAGUUGGCGGGGUAAAGGCCCACCAAGGCAACGACGGGUAGCUGGUCUGAGAGGAUGAUCAGCCACACUGGAACUGAGACACGGUCCAGACUCCUACGGGAGGCAGCAGUGGGAAUCUUGCGCAAUGGGCGAAAGCCUGACGCAGCAACGCCGCGUGUGUGAUGAAGGUCUUCGGAUCGUAAAGCACUGUCGCGAGGGAAGAGAAGCUCCGGAACAACAAGCCGGAGCUCGGACGGUACCUCGAGAGGAAGCACC